RNAcentral lists this long non-coding RNA (1227 nucleotides) under Triticum aestivum (bread wheat). RNAcentral's name for it is "long non-coding RNA (TAES_LNC015509)". Lineage: Eukaryota; Viridiplantae; Streptophyta; Magnoliopsida; Poales; Poaceae. The record is from RNAcentral.
GUGAUCACCAACAUCAUCAACGGUGGGAUCGAGUGCGGGCACGGGCAAGACAGCCGCGUCGCUGAUCGGAUCGGGUUUUACAAGCGCUACUGCGACAUCCUCGGCGUUGGCUACGGCGACAACCUCGACUGCUACAACCAGAGGCCCUUUGCUUAAUUAAUUAGUUAUGUAUAAUCUUGGCCCUGGGCAAAAUACAAUAAGAGGGUCAUCUCCUAUCUACAUGUUGUAAGAUGUAACUAUGGUUACCUUUUAUGCGGAACAUAACAAAGGCAUCUCGUAUGGAUGCUUUGGUACGGAAUCUUACCAACAAUAUUGGCUCUUGGUAUGAAAUGAACACUAUACGCCUUUUAACGAGUUCAACAAUGGCAAUAGAGAUGCCUCAACAUUUAAGUAGGUACUAGGAAAUAUGCCCGUGCGCUUGCGAUGGGAGAAAAAUAAUCAGAUUAUGCAGAUGUGGUAGAGAUAAAAAAAAGUCCGAAUCAAAUGUCAGGAUGAGAUAAGGACUUUUAAAAUAUCAUUUCAAAAACUAUGCCUGGAUGUCAUGAUGAGAUAAGGCACUUUUAAAGUCAUUUUAAAAAUUAAAAUGUGAUGGCCUCAUAAUGACUUGAUUUCCUAAGGCACCACAAUGAAAUACUUUUUGGCUGAGCAAACUACAUUGACGGACCAUGCCUGAGCUAUACUGAUGAAUGAUGUGUCUCGUCUUGGCCUAGCGUACUGGUGUUUUUCAUAACGAGUAAAACUAUCGUACCAAAAUAAACAUAGUUGUGUAUGGAGGCAAAUUAACAUUUAGUCAUUUUUAUAUAGUUUACCAAAACGAACCCAUAUAAAGUUGUGUGAAUUUUUUGGGCUCAGCGCUGCUCAGAAAAAGGAAACCUUUUACUUACUCUGAAGCAUGAGACUAAAUAAAAUCGUAAAAACGACCUCUACAGAGCCCCUAAUAAAACCUCUACAUAAGUGACGGUUUGUUUUUUUCGUUAUUUACGGAACUGUUUCAAUUUUUUUAAAUUUCAUAGACAUUUUUUCAGAUUACUGAACAUCUUUUGAAUACCAUAAUUUCUAAAAAAUCAUGAACAUUUUUAGUUUCACAAACAUUUUAGUUAUGUAUAAUUUUGGCCCUGCACAAAAUACAAUAAGAGCAUCAUCUCCUAUCUACAUGUUGUAAGAUGUAACUAUGGUUACCUUUUAUGCGGAACAGAACAAAGGCAUCUUGUAUGGAUGCUUUGGUAC